GACCCGACUGCUAUCGGAUUGAGAUUAAGCCAUGCGAGUUGAACAUUUUUUAACUAUGUGAAAAGUGUAGCAUACGGCUCAGUAACACGUAGUCAACCUACCCUGAAGUCACAAAUAACCCCGGGAAACUGGGAUUAAUAGGUGAUAUGUCAUUUUUUCUGGAAGGGUUUAUGAUUUAAACGAUUAUCAAGCUUGUUUGAUUAAUUGCUUUAGGAUGGGACUGCGACCGAUCAGGUUGUUGGUGGGGUAAUGGCCUACCAAGCCGAUAACCGGUGCGGGCUUUGAGAGAAGGAGCCCGGAGAUGGACACUGAGAAAAGGGUCCAGGCCCUACGGGGCGCAGCAGGCGCGAAAACUUCGCAAUGUGCGAAAGCACGACGAGGUUAGUCCGAGUGUCAUUUGCUGAAUUUGACUUUUAAUAAAUGUAAGUAGUUUAUGGAAUAAGGGGAGGGAAAGUCUGGUGUCAGCCGCCGCGGUAAUACCAGCUCCCCGAGUGGUUGGGACGAUUAUUGGGCCUAAAGCAUCCGUAGCCUGUUUUGUAGGUCUCAUGUUAAAUCCAUUCGCUUAACGAAUGGUCUGCAUGAGAUACCGCAUUGCUAGGAGGCGGGAGACGUGAACGGUAUUCCAUGGGUAGGGGUAAAAUCCUCUGAACCAUGGAAGACCACCAGUAGCGAAGGCGGUUCACGAGAACGCGCUCGACGGUGAGGGAUGAAAGCUGGGGUAGCGAACCGGAUUAGAUACCCGGGUAGUCCCAGCUGUAAACGGUGCAAGCUAGGUGAUGGAUUAGCCAUGUGUUAAUCCAGUGCCGCAGGGAAGCCGUUAAGCUUGCCGCCUGGGGAGUACGGUCGCAAGGCUGAAACUUAAAGGGAUUGGCGGGGGAGCACCACAAGGAAUGAAGCCUGCGGUUCAAUUGGAUUCAACGC
This 921-nucleotide ribosomal RNA is filed under the name uncultured marine archaeon. Its description in RNAcentral is "bacterial SSU rRNA". It matches the Rfam family "Archaeal small subunit ribosomal RNA", at positions 20 to 918 of the family's 1478-position model. The record is from RNAcentral.